CAGUGCCUGCAUUCCAUGAUGUUAUGUAAUUGACGUACAUUUAGUUGUCAGGAGGUUGCACACAUCCCGCAAAGAGGUUGGUUUGACAGAACGCAUCACAUCUGAUAGCAUCAGAGAGAAGAAUAUAGCGUACACUUCUCAAAAUUAUGAAACUGAAGUUGUAAUCUGAUUGUAGAGAAUACUUCCUGAGCUUCCUAACCAGUAGAAGGUCAAAGUUGGCUUUCAUCUUUUACAGAUUAUUAUGGGCCAGGUUUCUUCAUCACGCUUUCACACGCCUGAUGAAGACCAGGGACCUAACCAUCUUCAUUCACGAGAGGCAGAAAGGCAAAGUAGAAAUAAUCCCCAGAGAGAGACGACACAAUCAAUGAGUUCACAAUCUGUUUCAUCACACUCUUACACACCCAAUGAAG
Molecule: long non-coding RNA, 410 nt
Organism: Rosa rugosa (rugosa rose)
Lineage: Eukaryota; Viridiplantae; Streptophyta; Magnoliopsida; Rosales; Rosaceae
Exons: 5
Source: RefSeq, a predicted model, not a curated record